AUUAUGUAAGUGAAGGUUAGAAGUUUGCUACUGUUGUUGUUGUGUGGAAAUGGUGGAUUUUUACAUGGUGGUUGGGUGGUACAAAGAAGAAAAGAGGGUUUGGGUGAGUUAGGGUUUAGGUUGAAAAGAGGGAGCUUGAAUGUGAUUUUUGCAGAGGUUUUGUGGCUUUCUAAGCUUGAAAAAUGAGUGGGGAUAGUGCUCU
This 202-nucleotide long non-coding RNA is filed under the name Lathyrus oleraceus (garden pea). RNAcentral's name for it is "Pisum sativum (pea) long non-coding RNA (PSAT_LNC024919)". Lineage: Eukaryota; Viridiplantae; Streptophyta; Magnoliopsida; Fabales; Fabaceae. The record is from RNAcentral.